This 2143-nucleotide long non-coding RNA is filed under the name Salmo salar (Atlantic salmon). Its description in RNAcentral is "lncRNA (ENSSSAG00000114002.1)". The record is from RNAcentral. Lineage: Eukaryota; Metazoa; Chordata; Actinopteri; Salmoniformes; Salmonidae.
GUCGAAAUGACCAGGGACAAUCUGAGCUAUUUGUCAGAUUGAGGAUGGCAAUGCAGUGGAUAGCUGCCAUCUUAUGGGAUCCUCUCCAAUUUUGCUGUUUUGUGUGUUUUUUUGGUUUUUUACGAUGAUCUUAACUUUUUUUCUAUAAUAUUUCUGCCAUAAUUUUCUGUUACCGAAAACAGCUUCUGAGCAUCAGAACAGUGAUCACUAACCUCGAUUUGGAUGAAUACUUCCACGAGUCGGGAGCUGUGGAUGUGCUGCUCAUUCCGGACAAGACCAUAUUCCCUGGGACUCGAAAAGAGGAAGAGAAGCUCAAGAGAGGCAAACGAGCGGGCUCCCUGACGAGACUACGCCAGCGAGUAAAAUAAACAGCCUCUGCCUUCCAUUCUAUUUGCGAACAUACAAUCAAUAGAGAACAAAUUGGACGAGCUCCGUUUGCGACUGUCCUAUCAACAGGAGUUGAAGACCUGUAAUAUCCUAUGUUUCUUGGAAUUGUGGCUGAAUAACGACAUAGAUAAUGUCCAUCUAGCUGUUUUUUUUAUGCAUCAUCAAGACCGAACUGCAUCUUCAGGGAGAGAAACCAAAAGCCCACCUUCGCCUCAUGGGUCUCCCGGUCACGGUCGGGAAGGGUAUUGAACCAGCAUCUGUAGCAAUGCAGUGGCUUUGACCGCUGCACCACUCGGGAGGCCCCACUCACAAAGUUUUUAAUGCUGAUCAAUUGCCUUGCACAAAGUAUCAAAAUACAGAGAGGUGUUGGCAAGAGCCUAUUGCCCUGCUAAUAGCCCAUAAGGCGCAAUGAAGCAGUGACGCAGGGUACCAUUCAAAACCAAAAGUUACCUCUAAAUCCCUCAGCAUAAUCUCAAAACAUUUAGUUGAGCAACCACCUUUAGCUUCCAAGGAGCUGGACACAUUCCGGACGCUUAUAUGAAAUCCCGCUACGAGCUCCGACGACCCAUCAAACUGCCAAAACAUCAAUACAGGACUAAGAUCGAAUCCUACUAUGCCACCUCUGACACUUGUUGGAUGUGGGAUGGCUGGCAAACUAUCACAGAUUAUGAAGGGAAACCCUACCUUGAGCUUCCUAAUGACGCAAGCCUGCCAGACAAGCUAAAUUCUUCCUAUGCUUGCUUCGAGGCAAGCAACAAUGAACCAUGCAUGAGUGCUCCAGCUGUUCCGGAUGACUGUGUGAUCUCGCUCUCCGUAGCUUAUGUGACCUAUAAACUGGUUAACAUUCAAAGGCUGCAGGACCAGUCGGAUUACCAGGACACGUACUCAGAGCAUGUGCUGACAAGCUGACGGGUGUCUUCACUGACAUUUUCUACCUCUCUCUGACCCAGUCUGUAAUACCUACAUGUUACAAGCAGACCACCAUAGUCCCUAUGCCCAAGAACGCCAAGGUAACCUAUCUAAAUGAUUAUCGCCCUGUAUCACUGACAUGUGUAGCCAUGAACUGCUUUGAAAGGAUGGUCAUGGCGCACAUCAACACCAUAAUCCCAGACACUCUGGACCCACUACAAUUCGCAUACCACCCCAACUGAUCCACAGAUGACAAAAUCUCUAUUGCAGUCCACACUGCCCUCUCCCACCUGGACAAGAGGAACACCUACAUGAGAAUGCAGUUCAUUGACUAUAGCUCAGCACUCAACACCAUUGUCCCCUUCAAGAUCACUAAGCUCAGGACCCUGGGACUGAACACCUCCUUCCUUUAAGGGUGCGUGCUCAGUCCAAAAUGACUGGGUGGCCACGCACGACUCCAACACCAUCAUUAAGUUGCUGACGACAUGACGGUGGUUGGCCUGAUCACCGACGAUCAUGAGACAGCCUACAUGGAGGAUGUCAGUUACCUGUGUGGUGCCAGGACAACAACCUCUUCCCUAACGUCAGAAAGACAAAGGAGAUGAUCGUGGACUACAGGGAAUGGAGGUCUGAUUUGCCCUCAUCCACAUUGACGGGACUGUAGUGGAGCAGGUCGAUAGCUUCAAGUUCACUGGGGCUGAGCUCCCUGGAGUGUCAGAGAAAGGCCCUAAAAAUUGCCAAAGAUUCCAGACACCGAAGACAGACUAUUCCCUCUGUUGCUGCACGGCAAGCCGUACCGAUGCACCAACCUACCUUAACCUCUAUGGGCUAGGUGGGACGCUUGCGC